RNAcentral lists this unclassified non-coding RNA (330 nucleotides) under soil metagenome. RNAcentral describes it as "partial contains 5.8S ribosomal RNA, internal transcribed spacer 2, and large subunit ribosomal RNA". The stretch from base 1 to 121 matches the Rfam family "5.8S ribosomal RNA", at positions 35 to 154 of the family's 154-position model. The record is from RNAcentral.
GAUGAAGAACGCAGUGAAAUGCGAUAAGUAAUGCGAAUUGCAGAAUUCCAGUGAAUCAUCGAAUCUUUGAACGCACAUUGCGCCCCCUGGUAUUCCGGGGGGCAUGCCUGUCCGAGCGUCAUUACAACCCUCAAGCUCAGCUUGGUGUUGGGCCCCGCCGCCCCGGCGGGCCCUAAAGUCAGUGGCGGUGCCGUCCGGCUCCGAGCGUAGUAAUUCUUCUCGCUCUGGAGGUCCGGUCGUGUGCUCGCCAGCAACCCCCAAUUUUUUUCAGGUUGACCUCGGAUCAGGUAGGGAUACCCGCUGAACUUAAGCAUAUCAAUAAGCGGAGGA